Molecule: ribosomal RNA, 528 nt
Filed under: uncultured bacterium
Lineage: Bacteria
Description: bacterial SSU rRNA
Rfam family: Bacterial small subunit ribosomal RNA
Source: RNAcentral
GGGAGGCAGCAGCAGGGAAUCUUGCGCAAUGGGCGAAAGCUGCACGCAGCGACGCCGCGUGGGGGAAGAAGGCCUUCGGGUUGUAAACCCUUUUCUGGGGGAAGAGUAAGGACGGUACCCCAGGAAUAAGCCUCGGCUAACUACGUGCCAGCAGCCGCGGUAAUACGUAGGAGGCUAGCGUUGUCCGGAUUUACUGGGCGUAAAGGGCGUGUAGGCGGCUUGGGAAGUCCCUUGUGAAAUCUCCCGGCUCAACCGGGAGGCGUCGAGGGAUACUUCCAGGCUAGAGGGCAGUAGAGGAGAGUGGAAUUCCCGGUGUAGUGGUGAAAUGCGUAGAUAUCGGGAGGAACACCCGUGGCGAAAGCGGCUCUCUGGGCUGUACCUGACGCUGAGGCGCGAAAGCGUGGGGAGCAAACCGGAUUAGAUACCCGGGUAGUCACGCCUUAAACGAUGGAUGCUGGGUAUGGGAGGUAUCGACCCCCCCUGUGCCGAAGCUAACGCGUUAAGCAUCCCGCCUGGGGACUACGGSCG